AGAGUUUGAUCAUGGCUCAGAACGAACGCUGGCGGCGUGCUUAACACAUGCAAGUCGAACGAGAAAGUGGUUUUCGGACCGCGAGUAGAGUGGCGCACGGGUGAGUAACGCGUAGGUAAUCUACCCUUAUACCUGGGAUAACAUCGGGAAACUGGUGCUAAUACCGGAUACACUUCUUAGCUGCGGGGUUAAGGAGGAAAGGUGGCCUCUUCAUGAAAGCUACUGUAUAGGGAUGAGCCUGCGUACCAUUAGCUAGUAGGUGUGGGUAACGGCCCACCUAGGCUACGAUGGUUAGCGGGUCUGAGAGGAUGAUCCGCCACACUGGAACUGGAACACGGACCAGACUCCUACGGGAGGCAGCAGUGAGGAAUAUUGCGCAAUGGGGGCAACCCUGACGCAGCGACGCCGCGUGAGUGAGGAAGGUCUUCGGAUCGUAAAGCUCUGUCAGAAGGGAAGAAGUGUUAUAUGGCCAACACCCAUGUAAUUUGACGGUACCUUCAGAGGAAGCACCGGCUAACUCCGUGCCAGCAGCCGCGGUAACACGUAAGGGGCAAGCGUUGUUCGGAUUUAUUGGGCGUAAAGGGCGUGUAGGCGGUUGUCCAAGCCUGGUGUGAAAGGCUCUGGCUUAACCAGAGUUAGGCGCUGGGAACUGGGCGACUAGAGUUCAGGAGGGGAAGCUGGAAUUCCUGGUGUAGGGGUGAAAUCUGUAGAUAUCAGGAAGAACACCGGUGGCGAAGGC
Molecule: ribosomal RNA, 739 nt
Filed under: uncultured bacterium
Lineage: Bacteria
Description: bacterial SSU rRNA
Rfam family: Bacterial small subunit ribosomal RNA
Source: RNAcentral